This 157-nucleotide ribosomal RNA is filed under the name Sordariales sp. Its description in RNAcentral is "partial large subunit ribosomal RNA". It matches the Rfam family "Eukaryotic large subunit ribosomal RNA", at positions 99 to 261 of the family's 3401-position model. The record is from RNAcentral. Lineage: Eukaryota; Fungi; Ascomycota; Sordariomycetes; Sordariales.
CGGCAACAGCUCAAAUUUGAAAUCUGGCUUCGGCCCGAGUUGUAAUUUGUAGAGGAUGCUUUUGGCAAGGCUCUUUCUGAGUCCACUGGAACGUGGCGCCAUAGAGGGUGAGAGCCCCGUAUAGUUGGAAGCCAAGCCUGUGUAAAGCUCCUUCGAC